Molecule: long non-coding RNA, 498 nt
Filed under: Pongo abelii (Sumatran orangutan)
Lineage: Eukaryota; Metazoa; Chordata; Mammalia; Primates; Hominidae
Description: lincRNA
Source: RNAcentral
ACUUCCUGCAGAAAUCCUCCAGCCCUGUUAGAAAUGCCUCAGCCAAGGGGACUCAUCUCCUCAAACCUGGGGGACCAAGGCCUACGAGAGGUCACAGCAUGAGCCAGGACAUUCAGAGGUACCCAGACAUUGUUAUGAAACUCCGCAUGUGUCCCUGGUGAACGCUGCUGGACCCAGCAUGCACACUUCUCUGCUAAGAGUCACCCUGGAUGAACCACCAUUGCCAGCGGGGAGCAUGUUGCAGCUUUCCCACGCAGUGGAUGAGAACCAAGGUUACGACCAUUGUGUAGGAGGCGUCUGUGUAGCAAUUGCUGGAAUCACUUGUGGCAUCGUAGAAAGACUGAGCGUGGGAAAGAAGACGCAUUCUGAAGUCACCCCGAUUUGUGUUAAAUGAUCACCUUGACUACUGCUAUAGAACGAAUGUUUAUGUCCCCCACCCAAAUUCAUAUGCUAAGACCUAAUAGCCAAUAAGAUAGUAUGAAUAGAUGGGGCCUUUGG